This 452-nucleotide ribosomal RNA is filed under the name uncultured bacterium. Its description in RNAcentral is "bacterial SSU rRNA". It matches the Rfam family "Bacterial small subunit ribosomal RNA", at positions 340 to 786 of the family's 1533-position model. The record is from RNAcentral.
UACGGGAGGCAGCAGUGGGGAAUAUUGCACAAUGGGCGCAAGCCUGAUGCAGCCAUGCCGCGUGUAUGAAGAAGGCCUUCGGGUUGUAAAGUACUUUCAGUCGUGAGGAAGGUGUUAAGGUUAAUAACCUUAGCAAUUGACGUUAGCGACAGAAGAAGCACCGGCUAACUCCGUGCCAGCAGCCGCGGUAAUACGGAGGGUGCGAGCGUUAAUCGGAAUUACUGGGCGUAAAGGGCACGCAGGCGGUUAAUUAAGUUGGAUGUGAAUCCCCGGGCUUAACCUGGGAAUGGCAUUCAAGCUGGUUAGCUAGAGUCUUGUAGAGGGGGUAGAAUUCCAUGUGUAGCGGUGAAAUGCGUAGAGAUGUGGAGGAAUACCGGGUGGCGAAGGCGGCCCCUGGGACAAAGACUGACGCUCAUGUGCGAAAGCGUGGGGAGCAAACAGGGAUAGAUACC